This is a long non-coding RNA of Scylla paramamosain (green mud crab), 855 nucleotides long. RefSeq lists it as uncharacterized. The record is from RefSeq and is a predicted model, not a curated record. Lineage: Eukaryota; Metazoa; Arthropoda; Malacostraca; Decapoda; Portunidae. The transcript is spliced from 4 exons.
UUCAUAAGGCUCUAAUUAAAGUUAUUCUGUUUUUUACGGGUGCUUUUAUGGUUCUAGUGACAGAUUAUCAAGAUUUCUACAUUACUCACAGAGAAACACUCUCGAGAAUCCGACUAAUUAUCUCUGUGGCCUUUGAAAGUACUCGUGGAGAGAGAGCAGAGCGUUUCAGAGUACCGGCCAUUAUCUGUCAAAGUAAUGGCUAACAGCGCUCGACAGACCCAGUACCAACAACACACACACUCACAUACACACACAGAUCCCGGCAGUCUUGCAUUACCUGCUGUUCGUAGAUCUUGGCAAAGCGCUGCUGCAGUUCCUGGCGGUGUCUGGCUUUCUCCUCCUCUAGCAUUUCUCGCAGCCCAUAAAAGAGAAGAGGAAGUGGUAACAGCGGCCGUGGCGACAGCUAUACGAGGGGCAAUGGGAGGUGGAGAGCGUUUCAGAGUACCGGCCAAGGCUGCUUCAUCCAUGACAGUCUGGGAGAUCAAGGACAGAGGGACGCCACGGAAAUCUGCAAGACUGUGAGAGACCCAAACAGCACGCCGCCAACACAACUGAGAGGACCUAGAAUUCCAUGUGUGGCGGAGUACCCAACACUAGGCAUUCAAUACACUCAGGGCCGUGGAGGAGGGCGUGAGGUGACGAUUUGUGUUCUCUACUCGUCCUGCCAAGGUGAGGAUCGCUUGGCGAGGGCAUCAUUGACUACCACCAUCACCACCUGGUACCACCAUCUUCCCCUCUGCUCACCUCCCUUAAGUCAGACAGGCCGUGACCAGUGUCUGUAGCAGUCGGCAACGCCAGCAGGAACACCGCACCGUAUCUGGGGCAGUCCUGAAAUUAAUAAAACUUGCAACAGUA